AAAAAAUCAAGGCCUGGAAAGGUUCACUGAUGCACAGUUGACAACUAAUGGCAGAGUGGGCCUAGAAGCUGGGCCUCCUUACUGCCAGACAGAACUCCAGGGUGCUGCCUUCUAUAAUCAGGGUAAUGAGCUAUAGGAUGGUAGACGAUGCAGCAUUCAAAGACUUGGAAGUAGAAGGUGCCAUGCAUCUAACCAUCACGGUAUCCACACAACCAGCACCCUCUUCCCUCCUCUCUCCCCACUGUUCUCCUGGCUCCAGAUGCAGACACAGUCACAGGAAGGGCACAGCAGAAGAAAGAAAUUAAAGCCCCAGCUUUCUGGCUAGAGAACAAAAAAGGAAGGCCCCAGCAAGCUGGAAAGUAAUGGGGUGACCACAGAAAGGAGAGAGAUGCAGAGAGCAAUGCCAUAAAGUUGUAUCCUCAGCUUAUCUCUGAGCUGAGCACGCACAGGUCUGACCCUAAACAGAGUUUGUAAAAUUAACCACAGGACAGACCACCACCCAGGUUCCAGACUGGGUACCCGGUAGUGUUACCAUAGGUAGCUAGUCAGGCAUGAGCAGGGCAGGAGAGGGCUCUCUGCCGUCCUGCCCCAACCCCACCAGGAAUUUCAGACAACCAUCAGGUGAUGGUCAGACAGUUGUCACACUGCUUCUCUAAAAUAGUAACUGGUCACAGUCAGCACCAGGAAAAGGCAGU
Molecule: long non-coding RNA, 695 nt
Organism: Gorilla gorilla gorilla (western lowland gorilla)
Lineage: Eukaryota; Metazoa; Chordata; Mammalia; Primates; Hominidae
Exons: 3
Source: RefSeq, a predicted model, not a curated record